Manis javanica (Malayan pangolin) is the source of this 3587-nucleotide long non-coding RNA. RefSeq lists it as uncharacterized. NCBI's taxonomy places the organism in Eukaryota, Metazoa, Chordata, Mammalia, Pholidota, Manidae. The record is from RefSeq and is a predicted model, not a curated record.
AGUGCAGGCAGGUGGAAUUUAAGAAAACGAGGGUGGAAAAUAUGCGACCUUGGAAACUAAGCUAGACAGCUGUCUUGGUUGCUUCAGAAUUCUUCAGUAGCUAACAAAGACAGUAUCUCAACUUUUGCUAGAAGCCCAUUAGAAUGGAAAGAAUCCAUUUGGGGCCUCUUAAGAGAUACUUAAGAGGGGAUUUAUGCCCCCUUUGUAAAUUCCGGUCUGUGUUAUGGAAAUUUGACUUUGUAUAGACUCAAAAAAAUUUUAAGGUACUGUGGGUGCCACACAUCUACACAUCUAACGCUAGGUGGCAACCUUGCCUCUUGUGCCACCAGCCAAAGCCGUGGUAUAAAAUCAUAAUUAAGGAAAUAAACCAUCAAAUCCCAGGCUUCCUUUGCCAGUUUUAUUUUAAUAUUGGCAUCCAGAUAUAACAAACAGCGAAGCCCAUCCUUAAAGGCAGGCCCAAAUUUGGGGAGCAUUAAAUGUGUACAGAUUCGAUUUUUAGCAGCAUUUACCUGCACCCCUGCAGCCUCACAAUUGUUAGAAUUCCCUUGCCUUCCUGGUGUGGAUUAAAGACUUGUUCCAGGUAUGGGGGAUUCUGUGGUGGACAAGAGACACUUUCUUCUGUGGAACUCGCACUGAAGUGCUAGAGGUAGACACUGAACAAGUAAAGGAAAAUAAUUUUAGAUAGUAACUGUAGUAGAACAAUGUCUGCAUAAUGUAAUAGCAACUAGGCAUGAGGGGUAAGGGCUGGUUGUGAGAAAAGGCCUCAGAGGAGCUUUUAUGUGACCCAAAGCCCAAAUGAGGCUUUGUGGUAUUAAAGAAAUAGAAAGAAGCUAGGGUGGCUGGAGCAUGGGGGGAAGCAGGAAGAGCAGGACACGGGGCUGGAAGACAGGCAGGACUCAGACCACAGAAGGUCAGCUGGCCGAGGAAGGAGACAGGGUUGUACUCCAAGCCAGGGAGGAGGCACGGGAGGAUGGGUUAGAAGGUGAAGGGGCCUGAGUUCACCCCCACAAUUUACACUAUUGGGGGUAUCUCAGCUUCUUCACAGCCCUCACAGUGGACUGCCCCUUAGGAUAGCAGAUUUAUUUGACAUGGCUCCCACCCAAGGACCUCCCAGCCAAGAACGGACAAGCACACCCCCAUGAAGGCAUCCUUUUGAGUGUGGAUCCCUGCACAGAAAAGGCAUGAGCAGAGAGAAAAAUCAAUUUCUGGAAACACUAAACACUGUGGAAAACAUUCAUUUCCCACUGAGAAAGUAUUUAAACCCACAAACCUCCUGUAUACCAGGAAGACAAACAAAAGAGGUAGAAUUUUCCCAUCAUGAUAGGCACAGAUCAAAUUCAGGCUCAAGGACACCGGAGUUCUGCCUGGCUCUCCUUGGCUGGCACCUAACAAUGAAGCUUUAUGAUAAAUAAUGAUGGCAACAAAUUGCCAGGAGAUGAUCUGUCCAGUGCACUACCUGGGGCAUUUUAGUCAGAAGGCAAAUAUUCUAACAGAAAUACAGUCUUGCUCAGCUAGUCCCAAGACUGGUCUUUCAAGACAGCCACACUCAGGCCUGUUUAUGCGCUCCUCUGCCUGCUUUGGCUCGUGGCAUGGCACUGAGCAGCAUCCCAAGAAGCUGAGGGAAGCAGCAGGCAGGAGUAGGCUUUCCCUCCUGGCCCCACAAAACAAGGACAAAGGCGCAGGACUGCAUUUUCCUGCCAACUGUGUGUGUACAUGUACGCUCACAUGGAGAAAUCCUGACUUCAGUCUAGAAGACAAGCUCAAGGAGGGCAGGAACUCUGCUUUCUCGCCAACCAUUUACUCAGCGCCUGGUGUCUGCCUGGCACAGUGUCCUCAGUUGGGGGAGACUGACAGUACAUCUGGAUGUGAAGGGAGCCCAUCUGGUCCUUGGCUGUCACCUGUCCAUGCUGGCGCCCUCUACCGAGUCUUCAUUCCUAGGAGUCACCAAUUGUCAGCAUCUCUGCGCUCUGGCAUCCACAGGGGCAGCUGAGUUCCCAUCUGGCCUUUGAUAUAAAAACAGUGGGGACAUCUGCUCUUGGGCCCCUCCUCCCCAUACAAAGCACCUCCCAAUGUGCCAGGCCUCCUUGAGAUCCUCCUGACCCAUCUCAGACAAGCAAGCUCACAUGCACUUCUGACCACUGUGGGCUGUGGGACACUCAGGCCUGACCUGCUUAUGCUAGGAUCUCUUCUCCCCAGUUUGCACACCAGGGCAGAGGGUGAGACAACCUCAGACCUUUUUCACUUUCCUGGGACCUCCUGGGAAGACAAGGCAAACAGACCCUCACAGCCCUUGAGCCCCCCAUUCAGCCCAAAACAGGGGCUAGAUAUACAACAGCAUUUCCCCUCUUUGACCUCAUUCCCAGCCCACUGGGAUCUUCAUCUAUCAAACUAAACAGGAAAAAUGCUGACUCGAUAUGUAGGAGCAAAGGACAUUUAUUUUUGAAUGUACAUACAUUAAUUAAAUUUAUUAAUACACAAAAUCUAUUUAAGGUACAUUAAUACUUCAAAAAUACCAUUUGGUCAUACCUCCUUGUCAUCCUGGGAAGUUUGCAUCCAAUUCACUCAUCAGCAGGAAGAAAAAUCACAUUAAAAACUAGACACAAUAUGACAGGUUUUUAUUCUAAUAGUGGAAAUAGCAGAGCUCAUUUUUUCUCUUCUAUCACCUUUUAUACAUUUUUCAAAUUUCUACUUUGAACUUUUUGCUUUACAUUUCUAUAGUAAACACAUCUAGAAAAUACUCAAUUAAAUCUCUGCUGAAAAGAAAAGGCAUAAAAGAAAAGAUUGAUGAAUCCAAUGACAUCCAAUUUUAAAUUUAAGUAAGAUACAAAAAAACUCCACAAAGAAAAUCAGACAAAUGACCAAAAGACAAAAGAAAGAAAUUUCUCACAUAUGACAGAAAGAGUUCAGGAAAAAGAUGGAUACAAUAGGCACACUUUAUAAAUAGCCUGUUAAGAAAAAAACAAAAGCAAUAGCCAAAAACAUAAGAAACACCUCACUCAAUUACAGAAAUGCAAACUAAAACAAAACUGACAUGUCAUUUUUACUUACCAGAUUUGCAAAGUGUAAAAAAUGUAUAAACUUAGUAAUUGGUUAGGGUUUAAUUGGUUAAGGAUGGAUAUUAUACUAUUCCUGAGAAUAUAAAUUUGAAUAACUUAAAAGACAUUUGGAAAAUGGAUCAAAAUUUUGAAUGUAUUUCUAGGAACCCUUUGAAAAAGUAAACCAACCAAAUGAGAUAUGAACAAGGGUAUAAACAAAGAUAAUCAUUGUAGGAGUGUCCGUAACAGUCAAAAAAGAGGGGAAAAGGGUGGAAACAAACUAAAGAACUAUUAAAAUGAGAUUGCUUAAAUAAAUUAUAGUACAUCAAUAUAAUCAAAUGCCAUAUAAUUAAAACAAACAUGAAGUGAUGUGUCAUAUUUUAAUAUGGAAAAUUCUCUAAUAUAUUAACUGAAAAGACAAUAUAUAGGACAGGGUGAACAGUAUAAUAAUCCUUUUCAUGUAAAUAAAAAAUAUGUUCUAUAAAUAUCAGUGCUUAUGUAUUCACAAACUGUUUUUUGGGAAAUAUAAUAGAGUAUUAACCAAUAAAAUAA